GGAAUCCCUCGAAUAUCUCCCCUUUGAAUGUGUUCUUGAGAUUGACGAGGCUAUGAAAUUGGGUGAACCUUCUGGGGAUUGAUCCAGAAAACGAGUUGUUAGAUAAAUCCAAGUAGAAGAGGUAUUGCAAGUCAGCGAUGGAAGACGGAAUUUCUCCACUUAAAGAGUUCCAUGACAGGUCUAGAAUCUGGAGCUUUGUGCUACUGCUCAGCCAUGGCGGCAUUGAACCGGUGAGUCUACAAUUUGCUAAUACAAACAGUCUUGUAUUCUCAAAUCUCAAGUUUAAAUUUGUGGGCAUAAUCUCUCCAUGGAAAUUGAAUGUCAGAAUCAACACAGUCAAGUUCUUGCAAUGUUGAAGAGCUGUCAGUGCUGCCGAGAGAUUACAUAUGCCAUUUCCUGAAAUUGAGAAAUGGGAAAGUGAUCUGAGAUUUUUGAAGCUUUCUGGGAAAUCACCAUCGAGUCUGUUUUUGCCA
Molecule: long non-coding RNA, 473 nt
Filed under: Cucumis sativus (cucumber)
Lineage: Eukaryota; Viridiplantae; Streptophyta; Magnoliopsida; Cucurbitales; Cucurbitaceae
Description: long non-coding RNA (CSAT_LNC001918)
Source: RNAcentral